AUUGAACGCUGGCGGCAUGCCUUACACAUGCAAGUCGAACGGCAGCACGGGUGCUUGCCCCUGGUGGCGAGUGGCGAACGGGUGAGUAAUACAUCGGAACAUGUCCUGUAGUGGGGGAUAGCCCGGCGAAAGCCGGAUUAAUACCGCAUACGAUCUACGGAUGAAAGCGGGGGACCUUCGGGCCUCGCGCUAUAGGGUUGGCCGAUGGCUGAUUAGCUCGUUGGUGGGGUAAAGGCCUACCAAGGCGACGCUCAGUAGCUGGUCUGAGAGGAAGACCAGCCACACUGGGACUGAGACACGGCCCAGACGCCUACGGGAGGCAGCAGUGGGGAAUGUUGGACAAUGGGCGAAAGCCUGAUCCAGCAAUGCCGCGUGUGUGAAGAAGGCCUUCGGGUUGUAAAGCACUUUUGUCCGGAAAGAAAUCCUUGGCCCUAAUACGGUCGGGGGAUGACGGUACCGGAAGAAUAAGCACCGGCUAACUACGUG
RNAcentral lists this ribosomal RNA (486 nucleotides) under uncultured bacterium. RNAcentral's name for it is "partial 16S ribosomal RNA". It matches the Rfam family "Bacterial small subunit ribosomal RNA", at positions 29 to 507 of the family's 1533-position model. The record is from RNAcentral.